GAAAUGAAAGAUCAAGUCAUAUUAAGUCAGAAAUGUUCUAUGGUCAAAUGCUUUUAAUGUCAUGGUUAAGGUAAAAGUUACAGGACAUUUACGCAUGUAGUUGUAGCUGUUAGCAUCACGGUAGGAAGUGGGGCGUGACGCAAGGUCAGCGUUCGCUGACUGUACUGAAGAUGAACCUCGCCGCCCUCUGCCCAGUCGCAGCCUCACACUGUUUAUCCCUAUAUGCAAAAUCCUGAAUUUAUUCCAAGAAUUCUAUAGAUAAGGAUGUGAAGGCCCCAAUCGGAGGGCUGAAGAAUCGAAUAAUGAGUUUAGCUGGCAGCAGAUGGUAGGCUGAUCGAAGCUGCGAAGCAGCCAGCGAGCACUCAAGUCUUGUGAGUCACCACAACACCCUGUUGAAAUGGCUUCCUGUACAAGGUGUAUGAAAUGGCUCCAUACUCUCAGUUUUACUUAUGAGAGGAAUUCACACACUGCAGAGACCACUGUGGUGCCAAGGGACAGCUGCUCAGUAAUGUAGUCACAGAUGCUGCAAAAUGUGAUGACAACUUUGGUAAAACAAAAAAAAAUCAAGAAAUACAAAUGGCAGUUCUCCAUCCAAACUUCAAGUCUUGUGGAGGACUUUGUUGCAGAUUUUGGUGAAGUGGCCAUCAGAGAUUUCACAUCAAGUUCACAUCAAGAUAUGGUAAUGGUAAAGUUCUCAAUUGUCUCCUGUACAUGGUAAAGUUCUCGGUAAUGGUAAAGUUCUCAAUUGUCUCCUGUACAUGGUAAAGUUCUCAAUUGUCUCCUGUACAUGGUAUUUAAAUGCUUAGGCGAGCUUUUGGUCUUCUCUCAAGCUGGCACAAGAGAACAGCAGCUUGUAUUUGUUUAUCUUUGUAUUUUAUGAGCAGGAGUCAUUGUUGCCUUGCAGCUACAACAUGGAAACAACAGUAACCAAAACCUGUAUUUCCAAAACCAAAAAUGUUUGCUUUAACCAGCUAUUAGAAGAGGGAGAGGACUCUUUGGAGUACUCACUCAAGUAAUCUCUAACUACUGUACACUCAGAUAAAUAAAUAAUACACUUACCUCACAGAACUUUAUUUUAAUUUACCAAGGUUGGCAACAAUCACAUGUCAGUGUCAUCAUGUUACAACAUUGGUUGUCACCAUGUCACCAUCAUAAUUGAAACAUCAGUCACAAAAUAGAAUAUGAUCACAUGUGGGAUCUACCACAUAUUAGGUAAUAUGACAUUACUUGUUAAUCACUAUUUAUUUACUUUAUU
Molecule: long non-coding RNA, 1255 nt
Organism: Scylla paramamosain (green mud crab)
Lineage: Eukaryota; Metazoa; Arthropoda; Malacostraca; Decapoda; Portunidae
Exons: 4
Source: RefSeq, a predicted model, not a curated record